GGGCCAGUAACAAGGAAGCUGCCUUUGCCAAUCAUGCCCUACUUCCUGCCUGUGCGGUCCACCUUACUUCCGGAAAAUGCGUUCCACAUGCAGGAAGUGAGUUUUCAUCGACUGCUGCAGCCUCCCAGUGUCCGUGGAGAUCAGGGUUACACAGUAAUGAAGAAGAUCUCUGGUGAGUGUGAGAUACCCAGCAGCCAUCAUCGUGUGUCAGGCGGACUAAGCAGGACCCACAGCCCCAUCACAGAUCCUGGAACUCACCAACAAGAUCAUUCAGCUGCUGACAGGAGAGGAGGGGGAGUAUAUAGAGGAACACAGGGGUCUGUACAUGGACGUGAUGAUGGAGAAUCACCGGCCCCUCACAUCACUGGAUGGGCCCAGUAACAGAGAUACCCCAGAGAGAUGUCCCCGUCCUCUGUAUUCCCAGGAUUGUACAGAGGAGAAUCACAGGACCGCACAGGACG
Molecule: long non-coding RNA, 461 nt
Organism: Pseudophryne corroboree (corroboree frog)
Lineage: Eukaryota; Metazoa; Chordata; Amphibia; Anura; Myobatrachidae
Exons: 4
Source: RefSeq, a predicted model, not a curated record